GGAGAGAUGGCAGAGCGGUUGAAUGCGGUUGCCUCGAAAGCAAUUGUUUCAUGAAAAUGAAACCGGGGGUUCGAAUCCCCCUCUCUCCUCCA
This 92-nucleotide transfer RNA is filed under the name Candidatus Babelota bacterium. Its description in RNAcentral is "Candidatus Dependentiae bacterium tRNA-Ser". It matches the Rfam family "tRNA". Rfam says of the family: Transfer RNA (tRNA) molecules are approximately 80 nucleotides in length. Their secondary structure includes four short double-helical elements and three loops (D, anti-codon, and T loops). The record is from RNAcentral.